GUUUGAUCUGUUGUUUAAUUUUUGAUGUGGGCAUCCAGCUGAUCGCUCCCGCCGCCCGAUCGAUCCGCCGAGAACUCACCAGCAACGAUGGCCGGGAAGCCACAACACUCAGCUUUCGCGCCAGCCUGCUCCAUCCGGCACUCUCUCCUCGCCGUCGCUGUCCCAGCCCUGAUCUGUUUCGCCCUCCUCUCCCUCAGAUCGCUCCGCUCCCCUCCCCAAUUUUCCUCCCCUAAGAUGGCCGUGGCCGAAGUUUCCCGCGAUUUGGCGAGCCCGGGAUUGUCUUCUUCCUCGAUCUACCACUCCCCGGAGGUCUUCUUCAAAAGCUACGCCGAGAUGGAGGGAAAAUUUAAGGUGUUCAUUUACCCAGAUGGGGAUCCGAAUACGUACUUCCUGACGCCGAGGAAACUGACCGGCAAGUACGCCAGCGAGGGCUACUUCUUUCAGAACAUCAGGGAAAGCCGGUUCCGUACGGAGGAUCCGGAUCAGGCAGACUUGUUCUUCGUACCCAUAUCGUGCCAUAAGAUGAGGGGAAAGGGAACAUCCUAUGAAAAUAUGACCAUGAUAGUACAAAAUUAUGUUGAAAGCUUGAUUGGUAAAUAUCCAUAUUGGAAUAGAACCUUGGGUGCAGAUCACUUUUUUGUAACUUGUCAUGAUGUUGGUGUGAGGGCAUUCGAAGGACUUCAAAUGGUUAUAAAAAAUUCAAUUCGGGUUGUUUGUUCACCAAGCUAUGAUGUUGGAUACAUUCCGCACAAGGAUGUUGCUCUUCCUCAAGUACUGCAGCCAUUUGCUCUGCCAUCAGGAGGAAAUGAUAUUGAGAACAGGACCAUACUUGGAUUUUGGGCAGGUCAUAGAAACUCAAAGAUAAGAGUAAUAUUAGCUCGUGUUUGGGAGAAUGACACAGAACUUGCCAUCAGCAAUAAUCGCAUAAGCAGAGCUAUCGGAGAGUUAGUCUAUCAGAAGCGGUUCUACAGGACAAAGUUCUGCAUAUGUCCAGGUGGUUCUCAAGUGAACAGUGCUCGCAUAGCAGACUCCAUUCACUAUGGAUGUAUUCCAGUAAUUUUGUCCAAUUACUAUGACCUGCCGUUUAAUGACAUCCUUGACUGGCAGAAGUUCUCUGUUAUACUCAAGGAGAGUGAUAUCUAUCAACUAAAGUCUAUUCUGAAGUCUAUACCUCAUGAAAAGUUCAUUGAGUUGCAUAAGCACUUAGUUGAGCAUCUUUAAUCUUCAACAUAGUUUGACAGUGAUUUCAUGAAAUUGGCAUGUGGACAUACUCCAUCAAAUGGAGCAAAGACAAAGUUAUUGUUCAGAAGCACUUUGAAUGGCACUCACCUCCAGUACCUUAUGAUGCAUUCCACAUGGUAAUGUAUGAGCUUUGGCUCCGACACUAUGUCAUCAAGUACUGAGUGAGACCAACUUCAUGGACCAUAUAUUUGAUUUCACUUAUGACCAAACUGUGAAAUGAUCCAAAAGAUGCCCCGAACUCUGGUUUAUAUAGCUACGGAAGGUCUGCGAGAGCAUAUUCAGUUUUUGCUCAUCCAUCCCAUGCAAGUGGAUUAACCAAUAUUCAAUCAUAUGGAAGUCUGAACCGAGAAGGCGGCAAUUCUACAGGUUCAGAACUUGCUUCUUGAGCACCUUUUGUGUUCAGUUAAACAUUGAUAAUUUGGCUCGAGUGACAGAUGAGUGUGGCAGAAAGUAGGAAGAAAUCUGAACUCAGAGGUAGGUAGCUCCUUUCUUUUGCUGGUGCUGCCUGGCAGCUGAUCGGGUAAUUUAGAGGGCACUCUCUAUGUUUUCCUCAGUAUUUUUGUUUUGUUAUGGCUCUUCCCCGAUAAUGUGAGGUCCACUUUUUGUCUCUUCAUUAUAUUUGCAUAGAUUAUAUUAGUCUUGGGUUGUGCGAUGUAAUCCCAUCUGUUUUUGUACUAGCCUUUAAACCGAUGGGAGAUGACAAAACUAUCACUGGUGGAAAUAGGUUUUCUUAUUUAUUCCAUUAAAUCUUGUAUUACCCUUUUUGCCUUUUUGGCUGGAUACAGGAUGUCCUUUUUCUGCUUUAAGCAGGAGGCUUUAAAAUUGCUUCAGGGGGCAACACUGAUCCGCUACUACGAUGUAUGGUUGAUCACAUUGUUUCAAGCAGCUUGGCCACAGUCAACAAAGAAUUUGUGUGAGAGCUUUCUACCGCAACCUUUUCUGCUGAGAGCAUUUAAGCACAGAACAUAGAACAUUCAGAUGGUGAUGUUGAAGCCUCUGAAGCAAAAUACUGUGAUAGAUAUGAUAUAAAGUACGUACAGUUUGAACUAACUGGACUUGAGCCAUAUUUGUUGCAUAAUUAAUGAACAAUUUAACCUAUGCUUGUAUCA
Molecule: RNA transcript, 2351 nt
Organism: Musa acuminata AAA Group (dessert banana)
Lineage: Eukaryota; Viridiplantae; Streptophyta; Magnoliopsida; Zingiberales; Musaceae
Gene name: probable glycosyltransferase At5g03795
Exons: 7
Source: RefSeq, a predicted model, not a curated record